CUAUUAAAAUUCUUUUUUUAACAAUGGUCUUAGUCAUCACUGUUAUAAAAUUAGAUAACAUCAGAGACGGUAUUGUGUGUAGUAAAGUCGUGUUUUGUAAUCGUUCGUAAAUUAUUCAGAUUUUGUGUUUGCGUGUCUUUUGUCUAUAAGGGCAACAAAACGUAAAAAUGUUGUAGUGACAAUGGAAAAGAAACUAGAAGCAUUAAGUAGAAUUGAUAAAGGUGAAUCUUGCAGCAUUAUAUUAUGGUGUCGGUACAUCUACAGUAUCGGAUUGGAAGAAAAAUAGAACUAAAAUCGAAGAAUUUUUUUUUUCAAAAUGAUAUCAAAAGACAGUUUGGACAAUCGGUGCAAAGCUAAUAAAGCUAAGAAUGAGACUUUUGACGACGCUUUGUAUGUGUGGUUUUGUGUGGAAUGCGAACGUGGUUUACCAGUGUCUGUGUGACAAUUAUAACGGAGUUUAUCUGUAAGCAUACCAUAUUUUAUUAAUUUUUACCAUUUUCUCCGGCUAACCCGGAUUUUCGAUAACCCGGAUCGGCCGCGGUCCCAAUUAAUCCGAGUUAACGGGGUUCCACUGUAUGUAUGUGUAUACGUACUUAUUAUACAUAAGAAAUACAUGUUCGGAUUAUCAGUGCCACCUUCGGUCCCGAGGAGCACGGAUAAUCUGGAUUCUACUGUAUUAGGUAGGCCAGAACUUGAUAUAUUACUUGAUUUCUUAUGUUGAUUACUUUUCGUUUUUGGGUUGACAAAACAUGAUUUAAACUUUCAAAAUGCCCUCCUGAAAAAUUAGGCUAGAUGGACAUAUCAAUCAUUGUCAAAACGCUACAGAUUUAUAAUCCAUCCAACUGGUAUAUUGAAUAGUAAACUAGGGAUAAACCAACUAUGUAUAUCAAAACACAAUAUUUUAAAGAUUGGAUAAUUUACAUGAUAUGACAAACACCUAGAAGAUGGAAUCCUGUGUUCUCAAAGAAAAAGCUAGUUCCAGAAAUAAGCUACCAAUAAUAAACUAGAGAAUGUAUUACAAGAAAGAACAACGCUAAUACCCAACAUAGCUCAAUUGCUUCAGAUAGAAAAAGAGGAGGAAAGGGUAGAACACAAGCGUGCCAGAGAAAAUUAAAGGGCAGAAGAGACACAAAAAUUCAUUGAUUUAUUAAAUUUAAUAAUUAAAUUAUACAAAGGACAAUUAAAUAAAGAAUAAAAAAUUA
This is a long non-coding RNA of Diabrotica virgifera virgifera (western corn rootworm), 1202 nucleotides long. RefSeq lists it as uncharacterized. The transcript has 2 exons. NCBI's taxonomy places the organism in Eukaryota, Metazoa, Arthropoda, Insecta, Coleoptera, Chrysomelidae. The record is from RefSeq and is a predicted model, not a curated record.